Molecule: ribosomal RNA, 499 nt
Filed under: uncultured bacterium
Lineage: Bacteria
Description: bacterial SSU rRNA
Rfam family: Bacterial small subunit ribosomal RNA
Source: RNAcentral
CCUUCGGGUUGUAAAGCACUUUUGUCCGGAAAGAAAUCCUUGGCUCUAAUACAGUCGGGGGAUGACGGUACCGGAAGAAUAAGCACCGGCUAACUACGUGCCAGCAGCCGCGGUAAUACGUAGGGUGCGAGCGUUAAUCGGAAUUACUGGGCGUAAAGCGUGCGCAGGCGGUUUGCUAAGACCGAUGUGAAAUCCCCGGGCUCAACCUGGGAACUGCAUUGGUGACUGGCAGGCUAGAGUAUGGCAGAGGGGGGUAGAAUUCCACGUGUAGCAGUGAAAUGCGUAGAGAUGUGGAGGAAUACCGAUGGCGAAGGCAGCCCCCUGGGCCAAUACUGACGCUCAUGCACGAAAGCGUGGGGAGCAAACAGGAUUAGAUACCCUGGUAGUCCACGCCCUAAACGAUGUCAACUAGUUGUUGGGGAUUCAUUUCCUUAGUAACGUAGCUAACGCGUGAAGUUGACCGCCUGGGGAGUACGGUCGCAAGAUUAAAACUCAAAGG